RNAcentral lists this transfer RNA (74 nucleotides) under Podarcis lilfordi (Lilford's wall lizard). RNAcentral's name for it is "tRNA.Lys". The stretch from base 6 to 67 matches the Rfam family "tRNA", at positions 6 to 65 of the family's 71-position model. From Rfam's summary of the family: Transfer RNA (tRNA) molecules are approximately 80 nucleotides in length. Lineage: Eukaryota; Metazoa; Chordata; Lepidosauria; Squamata; Lacertidae. The record is from RNAcentral.
CAUUUACUAGCUCAGUUGGUAGAGCUCAAGGCUCUUAACCUCAGGGUUGUGGGUUUGAGCCCCAUGUUGGGUGA